This is a non-coding RNA of Xylariaceae sp. FL1272, 106 nucleotides long. Lineage: Eukaryota; Fungi; Ascomycota; Sordariomycetes; Xylariales; Xylariaceae. The record is from the annotation of a GenBank genome assembly.
GCCGGGGUAGUCUAAUGGCAGGCAACACCCGUUCAGUUUCCCCAGACGAGAACAAUCUGCGCAAAGUGGACGGCGUGUACUCCGGGUUCGAUUCCCGGUCCCGGCA